CUCCGCCGCGACCGGCGCACGGGUGAGUAACACGUAUGCAACCUGCCCCUGUCAGGGGGACAACCCGCCGAAAGGCGGGCUAAACCCGCGUACAUGCCACCGGGGCAUCCCGGAGGCAGGAAAGGCUUCGGCCGGACAGGGAUGGGCAUGCGGCGCAUUAGGCAGUAGGCGGGGUAACGGCCCACCUAACCGACGAUGCGUAGGGGUUCUGAGAGGAAGGUCCCCCACACUGGUACUGAGACACGGACCAGACUCCUACGGAAGGCAGCAG
RNAcentral lists this ribosomal RNA (271 nucleotides) under uncultured bacterium. RNAcentral describes it as "partial 16S ribosomal RNA". It matches the Rfam family "Bacterial small subunit ribosomal RNA", at positions 84 to 354 of the family's 1533-position model. The record is from RNAcentral.